Molecule: ribosomal RNA, 253 nt
Filed under: uncultured bacterium
Lineage: Bacteria
Description: partial 16S ribosomal RNA
Rfam family: Bacterial small subunit ribosomal RNA
Source: RNAcentral
UACAGAGGUCUCAAGCGUUGUUCGGAUUCAUUGGGCGUAAAGGGUGCGUAGGUGGCGCUGUAAGUCGGGUGUGAAAUUUCGGAGCUUAACUCCGAAACUGCAUUCGAUACUGCGGUGCUUGAGGACUGGAGAGGAGAACGGAAUUCCUGGUGUAGCGGUGAAAUGCGCAGAUAUCAGGAGGAACACCGGUGGCGAAGGCGGUUCUCUGGGCCUUACCUGACGCUGAGGAGCGAAAGCGUGGGGAGCAAACAGG